GAGGUUGUGGCUCAGCGGUAGAGUGCUUGCCUAGAGCAUGCAAGGCACUGAGUUCUAUCCUCAGCACCUCA
Molecule: transfer RNA, 71 nt
Filed under: Marmota marmota marmota (Alpine marmot)
Lineage: Eukaryota; Metazoa; Chordata; Mammalia; Rodentia; Sciuridae
Also listed under: 1 other name
Rfam family: tRNA
About the family: Transfer RNA (tRNA) molecules are approximately 80 nucleotides in length. Their secondary structure includes four short double-helical elements and three loops (D, anti-codon, and T loops).
Source: Rfam by way of RNAcentral